RNAcentral lists this ribosomal RNA (649 nucleotides) under uncultured bacterium. Its description in RNAcentral is "bacterial SSU rRNA". It matches the Rfam family "Bacterial small subunit ribosomal RNA", at positions 8 to 705 of the family's 1533-position model. The record is from RNAcentral.
AGAGUUUGAUCCUGGCUCAGAACGAACGCUGGCGGCAGGCUUAACACAUGCAAGUCGAACGCCCCGCAAGGGGAGUGGCAGACGGGUGAGUAACGCGUGGGAAUCUACCGUACCCUACGGAAUAACGCAUGGAAACGUGUGCUAAUACCGUAUACGCCCUUCGGGGGAAAGAUUUAUCGGGGUAUGAUGAGCCCGCGUUGGAUUAGCUAGUUGGUGGGGUAAAGGCCUACCAAGGCGACGAUCCAUAGCUGGUCUGAGAGGAUGAUCAGCCACAUUGGGACUGAGACACGGCCCAAACUCCUACGGGAGGCAGCAGUGGGGAAUAUUGGACAAUGGGCGCAAGCCUGAUCCAGCCAUGCCGCGUGAGUGAUGAAGGUCUUAGGAUUGUAAAGCUCUUUCACCGAUGAAGAUAAUGACGGUAGUCGGAGAAGAAGCCCCGGCUAACUUCGUGCCAGCAGCCGCGGUAAUACGAAGGGGGCUAGCGUUGUUCGGGAUUACUGGGCGUAAAGCGCACGUAGGCGGAUAUUUAAGUCAGGGGUGAAAUCCCGCAGCUCAACUGCGGAACUGCCUUUGAUACUGGGUAUAUCGAGUAUGGAAGAGGUGAGUGGAAUUCCGAGUGUAGAGGUGAAAUUCGUAGAUAUUCGGAGGA